Molecule: ribosomal RNA, 325 nt
Filed under: uncultured eukaryote
Lineage: Eukaryota
Description: partial 18S ribosomal RNA
Rfam family: Eukaryotic small subunit ribosomal RNA
Source: RNAcentral
CCCUUAGAUGUUCUGGGCCGCACGCGCGCUACACUGAUGCAUUCAACGAGCCUAUCCUUGACCGACAGGUCCGGGUAAUCUUUGAAUCUGCAUCGUGACGGGGAUAGAUUAUUGCAAUUAUUAAUCUUCAACGAGGAAUGCCUAGUAGGCGCAAGUCAUCAGCUUGCGUCGAUUACGUCCCUGCCCUUUGUACACACCGCCCGUCGCUCCUACCGAUUGGGUGUGCUGGUGAAAUGUUCGGAUCGGCCGUUUGUCGCGGUUUCCGCGGCUCGUGGCUGAGAAGUUCAUUAAACCCUCCCACCUAGAGGAAGGAGAAGUCGCAACA